GGGAGUACAGCUCAGCUGUUGGAGAGCACCUGCCUUGCAAGCAGGGGAUCAGCGGUUCGAUCUCGCUUACCUCCACCA
RNAcentral lists this transfer RNA (78 nucleotides) under Desulfosporosinus fructosivorans. Its description in RNAcentral is "tRNA-Ala". It matches the Rfam family "tRNA". Rfam says of the family: Transfer RNA (tRNA) molecules are approximately 80 nucleotides in length. Their secondary structure includes four short double-helical elements and three loops (D, anti-codon, and T loops). Further hydrogen bonds mediate the characteristic L-shaped molecular structure. tRNAs have two regions of fundamental functional importance: the anti-codon, which is responsible for specific mRNA codon recognition, and the 3' end, to which the tRNAs corresponding amino acid is attached (by aminoacyl-tRNA synthetases). tRNAs cope with the degeneracy of the genetic code in two manners: having more than one tRNA (with a specific anti-codon) for a particular amino acid; and 'wobble' base-pairing, i.e. permitting non-standard base-pairing at the 3rd anti-codon position. Lineage: Bacteria; Bacillati; Bacillota; Clostridia; Eubacteriales; Desulfitobacteriaceae. The record is from RNAcentral.